UUAACUCAUAUUUGUAUGCAGUUGGAACAACGCCCCUAGCGGCAAACGUAGGCAAACGUUCCAACUCCAUACAAAUUUGAGUUA
RNAcentral lists this microRNA precursor (84 nucleotides) under Bombyx mori (domestic silkworm). Its description in RNAcentral is "mir-2807 microRNA precursor family". It matches the Rfam family "mir-2807 microRNA precursor family". Lineage: Eukaryota; Metazoa; Arthropoda; Insecta; Lepidoptera; Bombycidae. The record is from Rfam by way of RNAcentral.